GGCCCUGUCGUCUAGAGGCCUAGGACACUACCCUUUCAAGGUAGGGACCGGGGUUCGAAUCCCCGCAGGGUCA
This 73-nucleotide transfer RNA is filed under the name Fimbriiglobus ruber. It matches the Rfam family "tRNA". From Rfam's summary of the family: Transfer RNA (tRNA) molecules are approximately 80 nucleotides in length. Their secondary structure includes four short double-helical elements and three loops (D, anti-codon, and T loops). The record is from Rfam by way of RNAcentral. Lineage: Bacteria; Pseudomonadati; Planctomycetota; Planctomycetia; Gemmatales; Gemmataceae.